GAUCCUACGGGGGGCAGCAGUGGGGAAUAUUGGGCAAUGGAGGAAACUCUUACCCAGCAAUGCCGCGUGAAUGAAGAAGGUCUUCGGAUUGUAAAGUUCUUUAAUUGGGGACGAAAAAAAUGACGGUACCCAAGGAAUAAGCCCCGGCUAACUACGUGCCAGCAGCCGCGGUAAUACGUAGGGGGCAAGCGUUAUCCGGAUUCACUGGGUGUAAAGGGAGCGUAGACGGCCAUGCAAGCCUGGAGUGAAAGCCCGGGGCCCAACCCCGGGACUGCUCUGGGAACUGUGCGGCUGGAGUGCGGGAG
This 305-nucleotide ribosomal RNA is filed under the name uncultured bacterium. RNAcentral describes it as "bacterial SSU rRNA". It matches the Rfam family "Bacterial small subunit ribosomal RNA", at positions 335 to 654 of the family's 1533-position model. The record is from RNAcentral.